This 1275-nucleotide long non-coding RNA is filed under the name Salmo salar (Atlantic salmon). RNAcentral describes it as "lncRNA (ENSSSAG00000114777.1)". The record is from RNAcentral. Lineage: Eukaryota; Metazoa; Chordata; Actinopteri; Salmoniformes; Salmonidae.
UGAAAGUUUAGAUGCCAAUCACCAUAUAAGUUCAAAGAUGAAAAGCCUGGAAGGAGGAGAAAUGACUAGAAUUGAUUCGGUUGACCAUUUUAUGUGUGGAUUAAUUGUCGGAGUAGAGGACCUUGUGCAUUUCAGGGCUGUAGUUCAGGAAGGCCCGUUGGUGUUCUUUCUCCAGGAUGCAGAGACCCAGAACCUGAUCGGAUGGGUGUUGAUUUGCAGGGCAUUGUGGGGUGGCAGGUGGAAAGGAAAUAGUAACAGCUGCUGGAGGCCUUAACUGAGAGGACAGUAGUGUCACUCUUUACAGGGCCAAUUAGCAGCGAUAAUUCAUUAAAGUCAUGGAAGCCCCAUUACCUUUUGAAGAAUCCCAUUCCAGACUGCUGCUGUCACAGAGGGGGCUGUCAACCUCAGCCUGGCUCUCAGCAUCAGGUCAGCCAGCCAGUCAGCCCAGCCAGACAGCCCAGCCUGGAGGGAGAUUCAAAAUAGCAAAUGGCAGCAUCAGAGAGCAAAAGGACAGUCCUACGUGGAAGCAGGGGCCCAGUGGAGGCCAAGCAGUGGACCCAAUCCAAAUAGCACAGUUGACCAGGUCACAGGAGAGGCCGUGGAGAGGACUCCCAUGGGGCUGUGCCACAGGAAGCAACCUUCGGGGGCCUCCCAGACAAUAGAGCCCAGGGGCAGGUCAACCCCCCUGAUGCCCAGGGCAACACACUAGGGGAUCGGAAUGAGCACCAUCAAGACAACCCCAGAGUCAUAAGACAACUGCAGCUUCCCUUCUAAUUAGAUUUCCCAUUGGCAAGAGGAGGAGGAGCAGCGCUAAUCAACUCCAGUACAUCUCCACUACACAGCCUUGGUCAGCCCUGCUCUCUACUCCUCACACACCGGACAUGUUUGGGUUGGAAAUCAUCACGCAGGCUGGAUUCUGGAGGGGAGCGGCUAAGCAGAGCGAGGGCGAGUGUGGUGGGUCCAAUGCUCUUCUCUCUCAGCUGUUAUUCAUAGGAAGCAGGGGCGGACCGGGACCAGAAAUCGUCCCUGGCAUUUCUAACACACCGGCACAUUUUUUCUCUUGAGGCCCCCAUUAUUAGACAGAUAAUGGUCAAAACAACAAGUUAGACCCACUGGGCUAAAAAUGAACAAGCCCAUCUGGCAUUUGUGCAAAAUGAUCAUUAUCUGUCUGAUAAACUGGGCCUCGGGAAACAUUUUGCCUGUGUGGGGGCCUCGAGGGAAAAGAUCGGCCAGUGUGUUAGAAAUGCCAGAGACGAUUUCUGGUCCCAGUCUGCC